UGUCUUGUGUUAAAGGUUAACAAAUUGAUUGCAAAUUAAUUAUUAUGAGUUCGAUUCUCAUCAAGACAU
Molecule: transfer RNA, 69 nt
Filed under: Ogataea polymorpha
Lineage: Eukaryota; Fungi; Ascomycota; Pichiomycetes; Pichiales; Pichiaceae
Also listed under: 2 other names
Rfam family: tRNA
About the family: Transfer RNA (tRNA) molecules are approximately 80 nucleotides in length.
Source: Rfam by way of RNAcentral